This 96-nucleotide transfer RNA is filed under the name Coprinellus micaceus. It matches the Rfam family "tRNA". From Rfam's summary of the family: Transfer RNA (tRNA) molecules are approximately 80 nucleotides in length. Their secondary structure includes four short double-helical elements and three loops (D, anti-codon, and T loops). The record is from Rfam by way of RNAcentral. Lineage: Eukaryota; Fungi; Basidiomycota; Agaricomycetes; Agaricales; Psathyrellaceae.
GGACCCGUAGCUCAGUGGUAGAGCGUGUGAUUCCAGAAUUCACACGAUCACGUGAAGGCAUCCACAAGGUCAUCCGUUCAAUCCGGGUCGGGUUCA